RNAcentral lists this ribosomal RNA (460 nucleotides) under uncultured bacterium. Its description in RNAcentral is "partial 16S ribosomal RNA". It matches the Rfam family "Bacterial small subunit ribosomal RNA", at positions 338 to 795 of the family's 1533-position model. The record is from RNAcentral.
CCUACGGGUGGCAGCAGUGAGGAAUAUUGGUCAAUGGACGAGAGUCUGAACCAGCCAAGUAGCGUGAAGGAUGACUGCCCUAUGGGUUGUAAACUUCUUUUAUAUGGGAAUAAAAUGUUCCACGUGUGGGAUUUUGUAUGUACCAUAUGAAUAAGGAUCGGCUAACUCCGUGCCAGCAGCCGCGGUAAUACGGAGGAUCCGAGCGUUAUCCGGUUUUAUUGGGUUUAAAGGGAGCGUAGGUGGAUUGUUAAGUCAGUUGUGAAAGUUUGCGGCUCAACCGUAAAAUUGCAGUUGAAACUGGCAGUCUUGAGUACAGUAGAGGUGUGCGGAAUUCGUGGUGUAGCGGUGAAAUGCUUAGAUAUCACGAAGAACUCCGAUUGCGAAGGCAGUUCACUGGACUGCAACUGACACUGAGGCUCGAAAGUGUGGGUAUCAAACAGGAUUAGAUACCCGAGUAGUC